Molecule: unclassified non-coding RNA, 274 nt
Filed under: Hevea brasiliensis (rubber tree)
Lineage: Eukaryota; Viridiplantae; Streptophyta; Magnoliopsida; Malpighiales; Euphorbiaceae
Source: RNAcentral
CUCCCGAUCCCUCCUCUUGUCUAUUGUUUUUACGAAAAAUCCCUCUUCCUUCGGGGCGAUAAUCCUAAAUUUCGUUCAAAUUCUCUAGCGAGUUGCUUCUCAUCCGUUCAAUCUAUCACCUGAGAAAUCAGCUUUUUCCCUCACUUUCUGGCAUCUCAUCAUAAUUCUCGAGGUUUAAUCAAUCCAUCUACGACAGAAUCAUGAAUCCUGAAUACGAUUAUUUGUUCAAGCUUUUGCUAAUUGGGGAUUCGGGAGUCGGCAAAUCUUGUCUACU